AGUGCUGCUCGGGGCUCAGCCUCUGCAGCUUCUUUUCCUGGCCCGGGCAACCUUGGGCAAAGAGCCUCAGUUUCCCCCUGGGUCCUGAGGCCCGAGCCUCUGUCUUGGGUGGAAAAAGUCACUCCGGGGCAGUUCCAGCUCUGAAAGUAGUUUGACAUGCUGGCAGCUACUUUUAUACAGCCUCUCUUGGAGUGUAUCGUGCCUGGCUUUUAGUGGAACAUUAUUUGUGGUGCUGGAGACAGACCCAGAGCCCACCGGAUGCUGAAACAGAUGCUGCGCUCCAGGGGCACUCUGGCCCUGUGGGGACCUUGCUGACUCUUAGAGGCUUCCGGACCCCCUCCUCUGUUCUCUCCAGUGUCCUCCUGGAGCACCUUCUGCUCCCUGCCUGGAGCCCAAGAGGAUCUCAGACGUGACUCCUCUGAUUCAGCAGUCUCAGGGCCUGGAACAGCCUGGAGGAAAAACUGGGGCCGGGGCAGGAGGAAUCUGAGAUGGCCUAGUAAAAACACCGUGAGCUGGAGCCCAGCCAAACCAAACAUCCUGGAAUUAAAAAAAAUAAACAUGGGAGAAAGAGAG
Molecule: long non-coding RNA, 573 nt
Organism: Peromyscus californicus insignis
Lineage: Eukaryota; Metazoa; Chordata; Mammalia; Rodentia; Cricetidae
Exons: 3
Source: RefSeq, a predicted model, not a curated record